This is a small nuclear RNA of Ictidomys tridecemlineatus (thirteen-lined ground squirrel), 161 nucleotides long. Its record names the gene U2. It matches the Rfam family "U2 spliceosomal RNA". Rfam says of the family: U2 is a small nuclear RNA (snRNA) component of the spliceosome (involved in pre-mRNA splicing). Complementary binding between U2 snRNA (in an area lying towards the 5' end but 3' to hairpin I) and the branchpoint sequence (BPS) of the intron results the bulging out of an unpaired adenosine, on the BPS, which initiates a nucleophilic attack at the intronic 5' splice site, thus starting the first of two transesterification reactions that mediate splicing. Lineage: Eukaryota; Metazoa; Chordata; Mammalia; Rodentia; Sciuridae. The record is from Ensembl.
AUCACUUCUCAGCCUUUUGGCUAAGAUUGAGUGUAGUCUCUGUUCUUGUCAGUUUAAUAUCUGAUACAUCCUUUAUCCAAGGACAAUAUAUUAAAUGGAUUUUUGGAGCAGGAAGAUGGAAUAGGAGCUUGCUCCUUCCACUCCAAGAAUGAUGAACCAAA